GAAUGUUCAUAGAGUUAAUACCAAAGUUAUGUGGCUGACCUCAUUUACAUGUUUGCUAUUGAUAUGUUUUUUAUUUUAAGUUUUUUAUUGUGUCAAGUAUUGGUUUUAAAUUCCCAUAUUUUGAGAUUCAUUUUUUUUAAAUUUUUUGAACAAUCUUGUAUGGACGUACAUCCGACACCAAAGUUAUAGUGCUUGACAAGUUUUCAAACUCCGUAUUUUAAAUCUUUUUCAUUUAGGUUCAUUUAGUAGAUAAAAUAUUCAAUAUGGUCUAUUAAAAGAUAUAAUUGUUGACGGUAGAUAACCCUUAAAUUAAUCGUCAACAAAACUUGGAAAAGUGCAAUAAAGUUGACACCAACAUAGAAGUAGGGGUUCAACUGACAAAUUCUAUAAGUUUUGGUGAAUCUAUGUUUUGUACGGACUAAACAGGAAAAUACCCAAAGAGGACCCACAUGUCAGGUCUACAAACUGAUAUAAAGGCAACGUAUACAAAAGAAGAUUCUAGAGACUACGAGAAGACAACUCACCAGAGGUGGGCCCUAGCUGGUAGGGAGUCAGGGCAGUUGCCUAGGCCCUUAGGGCGCCUACCCUAUGGGUCCCACCUGUCGGAUUCCACUUUGUAGGUCGGUUUCCCACUGCCAUUGGUCUAAUAUCAAUCAUUGAUCAAGGUCGGUUUGAUCUGAGGGCUCCAGUUGAUCCUACCCCCCCCCCAAUAUAAAGAGAGCUAGACACCAAGGGCCAGGUAGAUCCUCAAUUCAUAAUUCAUAUUUUCAGUCAGUAUCAAGAGAGGAGUCCCAUAAAUGGAUGACCUCAUCUCUAAAGCUAGCUUUCAAGAGAGAUUAGUCUUGUAUCCUCUACAGAGAUUAGGGCUAGUCUUCUAGAUAUAGAGAGAUAGAGUAAGGGAGAAGUUGGAGGAAGUGCCAACCUGUCGGUGUCUCCUCUCCAUCUUGUACCUGCGAGAUCAAGCUCUUUGCGGGGCUUGCUUCUCAGAUUCUUUGGAAAUUCAACUUCUAAUACUAGUAAGUAUAUUGUUAUUAUUGUUCUUCGAUUUGUGACUCUUUUAAGUACUUUAAUCCUUUGUUGCUAUUGGGUUGAAGUAGUAAUUUGUUUGUAAGCGUGGUGCUUAGACGUGGUUGC
This 1134-nucleotide long non-coding RNA is filed under the name Sorghum bicolor (sorghum). Its description in RNAcentral is "long non-coding RNA (SBIC_LNC011135)". The record is from RNAcentral. Lineage: Eukaryota; Viridiplantae; Streptophyta; Magnoliopsida; Poales; Poaceae.